CAGAGGUGGCAAGCGUUGUUCGGAAUUACUGGGCGUAAAGGGCGCGUAGGCGGCCAUCUAAGUCAGACGUGAAAUCCCCCGGCUUAACCUGGGAACUGCGUCUGAUACUGGAAGGCUUGAAUUUGGGAGAGGGAUGUGGAAUUCCAGGUGUAGCGGUGAAAUGCGUAGAUAUCUGGAGGAACACCGGUGGCGAAGGCGGCAUCCUGGACCAAUAUUGACGCUGAGGCGCGAAAGCUAGGGGAGCAAACGGGAUUAGAUACCCCGGUAGUCCUAGCCCUAAACGAUGAAUGCUUGGUGUGGCGGGUAUCGAUCCCUGCCGUGCCGAAGCUAACGCAUUAAGCAUUCCGCCUGGGGAGUACGGUCGCAAGGCUG
This 372-nucleotide ribosomal RNA is filed under the name uncultured organism. RNAcentral describes it as "bacterial SSU rRNA". It matches the Rfam family "Bacterial small subunit ribosomal RNA", at positions 526 to 896 of the family's 1533-position model. The record is from RNAcentral.